AGUGAACGCUGGCGGUAGGCCUAACACAUGCGAGUCGAACGGCAGCACAGUAAGAGCUUGCUCUUACGGGUGGCGAGUGGCGGACGGGUGAGGAAUACAUCGGAAUCUACUUUUUCGUGGGGGAUAACGUAGGGAAACUUACGCUAAUACCGCAUACGACCUACGGGUGAAAGCAGGGGAUCUUCGGACCUUGCGCGAUUGAAUGAGCCGAUGUCGGAUUAGCUAGUUGGCGGGGUAAAGGCCCACCAAGGCGACGAUCCGUAGCUGGUCUGAGAGGAUGAUCAGCCACACUGGAACUGAGACACGGUCCAGACUCCUACGGGAGGCAGCAGUGGGGAAUAUUGGACAAUGGGCGCAAGCCUGAUCCAGCCAUACCGCGUGGGUGAAGAAGGCCUUCGGGUUGUAAAGCCCUUUUGUUGGGAAAGAAAAGCAGCAGGUUAAUACCCCGCUGUUCUGACGGUACCCAAAGAAUAAGCACCAGCUAACUUCGUG
RNAcentral lists this ribosomal RNA (492 nucleotides) under uncultured bacterium. RNAcentral's name for it is "partial 16S ribosomal RNA". It matches the Rfam family "Bacterial small subunit ribosomal RNA", at positions 29 to 507 of the family's 1533-position model. The record is from RNAcentral.